AGCAUGGCUACCUCAGCAUUCUGCAGAAAUACGCCAUCCCAUCUGGUUUGUGCUUAGUAAUCAUUUGUUUUCAACAGGAUAAUGACCCAACACACCUCCAUGCUGUGUAAGGGCUAUUUGACCAAAAAGGUGAGUAAUGGAGUGCUUCAUCAGAUGACCUGGCCACAAUCACCUGACCUCAACCCAUUGAGAUGGUUUGGGAUGAGUUGAACUGCAGAAUGAAGGAAAACCAGCCAACAAGUGCUCAGCAUAUGUGAGAACUCCUUCAGGACUGUUGGAAAAGCAUUCCAGGUGAAGCUGGUUGAGAGAAUGCCAAGAGUGCGCAAAGUUGUCAUCAAGGCAAAGGAAACCAUGGAUUACAGGCAACACCCACACUUUGCUAAAGGCCAGAGCUGCAGCUUUCAAGGAGGGGUAUUAAUCCGGACAAAUCCCACUCUGCCCUCCGACAAACCAUCAAGCAGGCAAAGCAUCAAUACAGGACCAAGAUCGAAUUCUAUUACACCGGCUCUGAUGCUCAUCGGACAUUGCAGGGUUUGAAAACUUUCAUGGAUUACAAAGGGAAACACAGCCGCAAGCUGUCCAGUGACGCGAGCCUACCAGAUGAGCUAAAUACCUUCUAUGCUCGCUUCGAGGCUAGGAACACUCAACCAUGCAUGAGAGCCCCAGCUGUUCCAGAUGACUGCGUGUACCCGCUCUCCAUAGCCAGUAUUCACAGAUGAUGCAAUCUCUAUUGCACUCCACAUGGCCCUUUCCCACCUGGACAAAAGGAAAACCUACGUGAAAAUGCUUUUCAUUGACUACAGCUCAGCGUGGUGAUAGUAGGCAUCAACACAUCUGCCACGUUGACCCUCAACACGUGGUCCCCUCAGGGUUGUGUGCUUAGUCCCCUCCUGUACUCCCUGUUCACCCACAACUGUGUGCACACAACUCUAACACUAUCCUUAAGUUUGUCCAAAAUACAAAGGUGAAGGGCCAGACUACAGUCGGGAAGUCAGAGACCUGGCAGUGUGGUGCCAGGAUAACAACCUCUCCCUCAACGUCAGCAAGACAAUGCGCUGUCGUUACUCAUUGUGUAUUUAUUCCUUUUGUUAUUAUUUUUCUAUUAUUUAACUUUUUCUCUCUGCGUUGUUAGGAAGGGCCCUUCAGUAAGCAUUUCACUGUUAGUCUACAGCUGUUGUGACAAAUAACAUUUGAUUUGAUAUUGUGUUAUUAACAAAUUGUGGAUUACUGAGUUAUCGUGUGUAUAUUUGACAUGACGUAACACACACACACACACAAACACACACACAAAGAAACACAUAACAAAUGCUUGAAUGGUUUGUCAUUCAUAUUGUUUUUGCUGAAAGACCUCUAUCCUUGACGUGAUGUUGGUGGUGGUAGCGAGGAUUUCCCUGCUUCACUUGGCUCCACUGAGGACUUACGAGAAGUGCGUCCCAAAUGGCACACAAUUCCCUAUAAAGUGCACUUCUUUUGACCAGGGCCCAUUGGGCUCACAUCAAAAGUAGUGGACUAUGUAGGGAAUAGGGUGCCAUUUGGGAUGCACACAACUAUCCCAAGUCAGGACCACUGACCUGCAAAAUCUAAAAUAGAAUAAUAGCCACUUGAAGCACAUAUUCCACAAAAGCAUCCACUCCAAUUGCUACAUUCUGCUGCUAAAUGUAUUGGAAUAUAAGGGAAACAUUUUACUUCCAAGAGC
Molecule: long non-coding RNA, 1696 nt
Organism: Oncorhynchus tshawytscha (Chinook salmon)
Lineage: Eukaryota; Metazoa; Chordata; Actinopteri; Salmoniformes; Salmonidae
Source: Ensembl